GGUAGUAAUUCUAAGGACUUCAUCAUAACAUAUGAGUUCUAUUUUGGAAGAUAUAUUCCUUAUGAUGAAUCUAUUAGAUAACAUUUAUCAUUUUAUAAUUUAUAUACUUAUUUGAAGCACAAUCAUCUACAACCUAAAUGAUUGGUUUUAGGACAUAUUUUUCAACAACUCCCACUUAGACUAAAUCCAAUCAGAUCAAUAUCCAAUAUUCAUCUUCCAUUUUAGAUCAUUGAACUCAU
RNAcentral lists this long non-coding RNA (239 nucleotides) under Elaeis guineensis (African oil palm). RNAcentral describes it as "long non-coding RNA (EGUI_LNC036354)". Lineage: Eukaryota; Viridiplantae; Streptophyta; Magnoliopsida; Arecales; Arecaceae. The record is from RNAcentral.